AGCGAACACCAGCUGCUCCCCGCGCCGGGCGCCGCGCGCCGCUGCUCCGCCGCUCGGCCCCUCGGCUGCUGCUCCGCCGGCGCUGCCUCCCUCGCCCCGCGGCUCCCCCUUGCAACUUGGCGGGCCUCCUCCCUUUUGUCCGGCCCGGCCCGGCCGCCGCCGCCCCCCGCGCCCGGCGCCGAGCUCCCGGGUCUCCGGGCCGGCUGUCGGUGCCGGCAGGGCGCGGAGGGGGCGGGGGCCGCGGCUCGUCCCCCCGCGGAUGAGCCGCCGCGGACGGGGCGCGGGCGGACGAUGGAACUCCACAUCCUGGAGCACCGGCUGCAAGUUGCCAGCGUCGCCAAGGAGAGUAUCCCGCUGUUCACCUACGGCCUGAUCAAACUUGCCUUCCUGUCCUCCAAGACCAGAUGAUGAUUAUUCUCCACCGUCUAAGAGACCAAAGGCCAAUGAGCUACCGCAGCCACCAGUCCCGGAACCCGCCAAUGCUGGGAAGCGGAAAGUGAGGGAGUUCAACUUCGAGAAAUGGAAUGCUCGCAUCACUGAUCUACGUAAACAAGUUGAAGAAUUGUUUGAAAGGAAAUAUGCUCAAGCCAUAAAAGCCAAAGGUCCGGUGACGAUCCCGUACCCUCUUUUCUAGUCUCAUGUUGAAGAUCUUUAUGUAGAAGGACUUCCUGAAGGAAUUCCUUUUAGAAGGCCAUCUACUUACGGAAUUCCUCGCCUGGAGAGGAUAUUACUUGCAAAGGAAAGGAUUCGUUUUGUGAUUAAGAAACAUGAGCUUCUGAGUUCAACACGUGAAGAUUUACAGCUUGAUAAGCCAGCUUCAGGAGUAAAGGAAGAAUGGUAUGCCAGAAUCACUAAAUUAAGAAAGAUGGUGGAUCAGCUUUUCUGCAAAAAAUUUGCGGAAGCCUUGGGGAGCACUGAAGCCAAGGCUGUACCGUACCAAAAAUUUGAGGCACACCCGAAUGAUCUGUACGUGGAAGGACUGCCAGAAAACAUUCCUUUCCGAAGUCCCUCAUGGUAUGGAAUCCCAAGGCUGGAAAAAAUCAUUCAAGUGGGCAAUCGAAUUAAAUUUGUUAUUAAAAGACCAGAACUUCUGACUCACAGUACCACUGAAGUUACUCAGCCAAGAACGAAUACACCAGUCAAAGAAGAUUGGAAUGUCAGAAUUACCAAGCUACGGAAGCAAGUGGAAGAGAUUUUUAAUUUGAAAUUUGCUCAAGCUCUUGGACUCACCGAGGCAGUAAAAGUACCAUAUCCUGUGUUUGAAUCAAACCCGGAGUUCUUGUAUGUGGAAGGCUUGCCAGAGGGGAUUCCCUUCCGAAGCCCUACCUGGUUUGGAAUUCCACGACUUGAAAGGAUCGUCCGCGGGAGUAAUAAAAUCAAGUUCGUUGUUAAAAAACCUGAACUAGUUAUUUCCUACUUGCCUCCUGGGAUGGCUAGUAAAAUAAACACUAAAGCUUUGCAGUCCCCCAAAAGACCACGAAGUCCUGGGAGUAAUUCAAAGGUUCCUGAAAUUGAGGUCACCGUGGAAGGCCCUAAUAACAACAAUCCUCAAACCUCAGCUGUUCGAACCCCGACCCAGACUAACGGUUCUAACGUUCCCUUCAAGCCACGAGGGAGAGAGUUUUCCUUUGAGGCCUGGAAUGCCAAAAUCACGGACCUAAAACAGAAAGUUGAAAAUCUCUUCAAUGAGAAAUGUGGGGAAGCUCUUGGCCUUAAACAAGCUGUGAAGGUGCCGUUCGCGUUAUUUGAGUCUUUCCCGGAAGACUUUUAUGUGGAAGGCUUACCUGAGGGUGUGCCAUUCCGAAGACCAUCGACUUUUGGCAUUCCGAGGCUGGAGAAGAUACUCAGAAACAAAGCCAAAAUUAAGUUCAUCAUUAAAAAGCCCGAAAUGUUUGAGACGGCGAUUAAGGAGAGCACCUCCUCUAAGAGCCCUCCCAGAAAAAUAAAUUCAUCACCCAAUGUUAAUACUACUGCAUCAGGUGUUGAAGACCUUAACAUCAUUCAGGUGACAAUUCCAGAUGAUGAUAAUGAAAGACUCUCGAAAGUUGAAAAAGCUGUCGCUAAGAGAACAAGUGAAUGACCUCUUUAGUCGGAAAUUUGGUGAAGCUAUUGGUAUGGGUUUUCCUGUGAAAGUUCCCUACAGGAAAAUCACAAUUAACCCUGGCUGUGUGGUGGUUGAUGGCAUGCCCCCGGGGGUGUCCUUCAAAGCCCCCAGCUACCUGGAAAUCAGCUCCAUGAGAAGGAUCUUAGACUCUGCCGAGUUUAUCAAAUUCACGGUCAUUAGACCAUUUCCAGGACUUGUGAUUAAUAACCAGCUGGUUGAUCAGAGUGAGUCAGAAGGCCCCGUGAUACAAGAAUCAGCUGAACCAAGCCAGUUGGAAGUUCCAGCCACAGAAGAAAUAAAAGAGACUGAUGGAAGCUCUCAGAUCAAGCAAGAACCAGACCCCACGUGGUAGACCUCUUCCCUCCUAGGCUUAAAGUAUCAGUGGUUGAGAAGAGCUUUUCGGACCUGUUACUACCCCAAGCUGUGUAAUAUACUUGUAUAACAGAAAUACCUUCUAUACAAACCUUUUUUUCUACUUUUAGAUAGAAAUGUCUACUUUUUCAGCAGUUCUGUGAAUUAAAGAGCAGAGUGACUGUGGGUCUGGAAUGGCUGGUGUACUUGGGAAUGUACUAUCAGGAUUUUACAGCAAUGCUGGGAAAUGACAGGGAAAAUGACAGGAAUGAAUCUCACCAGAUUUUUUAUGUACUCAGCAGAGCCUUGAGUUACGGUGUUUAUUUUCCAAUCAAGUGAAGAUAUCUCCUACUUCUCCUACUGGAACAUCUCAGCUUCUGCAGUGAAGAAAAAUUCCUGUGAUAGUUCAGUUCUUUAGUUUUUCUAUUUGAAAAAAAAAAAUCAUUUAAAUGAUCCUUUGUUCACGGCUCUCCUUAAUGACUGAGUGAACAGUUCCUAUCUGUAUAUUUGACUAAACCUUUUCCUAAGCUAUCUCUCAUGGUUCCUAUGUUUUUUUAUCAUAAUUAAAAGCAAAACCAUCUGGAUCACCUAACAGUCAGAGGUCAGUAUCUCAGCGUGUGAAUUAUAGAGGAAAUACAGAGAGAACCUCUUCCACUUUUACUUUUCGUCCAAAUAAAAUGCAUGGUGUACCAGAAGUUGAAGAUCGGGUUGAGGAUUGGGGCUAGCUCGAUGACACUAAGGCCCCAACAUCGCGGGACCUGCUGUGGCGCGGAUUCUUAGGAACGCUGUUCUAGCCGGCCCCCUCUCCAGGGGUCGCCGUGGCCGGCAUUAUUUCCUAGUUCUUCUUGUAACCCUGAGGUGCCAGCGCGGGGAGUGAGGAGGGGUCAGGGGGCUAAGGAUGCAACCUCUGACGUUCUGCGCCUUCCUAGGAGAGUCUUACAUGUGUUGAGAUUUCACAAGCAAUGCGAGUUGUAAAAUACCAGCUCUACAAGAAGCUAGGCUCUGUGACGGCAUAGUUUUCAGUAGCUUUAUCACAAUAUUCACAAUGGAGAAUUAUAUGACAUGGUAGCAGAAAUAGGCCCUUUUAUGUGUUGCUUCUAUUUUACCUCAAAUUGUAGAUAUAGGGUAAUCAAUAAAAUCCAUCCAUGCC
Molecule: long non-coding RNA, 3605 nt
Organism: Homo sapiens (human)
Lineage: Eukaryota; Metazoa; Chordata; Mammalia; Primates; Hominidae
Gene: GTF2IP1
Product: general transcription factor IIi pseudogene 1
Source: Ensembl